CCCCUAGAUGUUCUGGGCCGCACGCGCGCUACACUGAACAGUUCAACAAGUCUUAACCUUGGCCGAUAGGUCUGGGUAAUCUUUGAACGCUGUUCGUGAUUGGGAUAGACCUUUGCAAUUAUGGGUCUUCAACGAGGAAUUCCUAGUAAACGCAAGUCAUCAGCUUGCAUUGAUUACGUCCCUGCCCCUUGUACACACCGCCCGUCGCACCUACCGAUUGAAUGGUCCGGUGAAAUCUCGGGACGGCGGCUCGGUCGCUUGCGUCCGACUGCUGAAACUUGAUUAAACCAUAUCAUUUAGAGGAAGGUGAAGUCGUAACA
RNAcentral lists this ribosomal RNA (320 nucleotides) under uncultured eukaryote. Its description in RNAcentral is "partial 18S ribosomal RNA". It matches the Rfam family "Eukaryotic small subunit ribosomal RNA", at positions 1470 to 1796 of the family's 1831-position model. The record is from RNAcentral.